Long non-coding RNA from Esox lucius (northern pike), 2722 nucleotides. RefSeq lists it as uncharacterized. The record is from RefSeq and is a predicted model, not a curated record. The transcript is spliced from 3 exons. NCBI's taxonomy places the organism in Eukaryota, Metazoa, Chordata, Actinopteri, Esociformes, Esocidae.
CAAAACCUAAAGUUUAGUUUCAUGUGCGCACGCAAAACCUUUUCAUGUGCGCACAUGAAAGUUUCAGCGAAGAACUACGGUUAAAUGGCGGCUAAAGAUGAGUUGGAAACGUUCCUUAAAAGCCGUAAUAUACCAGACAAUAUCAUAAUUAAACUGAAAGAUAAUAAGAUCGACGUUAAUGUCAUAGCUUUAAUGGCAGAUGAAGAGCUGGGUCAAUAUAUCGGAGACCUACUUGCUGUUCGAGCAUUUUGUUGGCAAAGAACUUUUGACGAACAACAGUGAGACAGUGAAGUCAGCUCUGAUGCACAGGGUUCGAGAAAAAAAUAGAAGGAAGAACCCGCCAAAAGCGACACGUACAGCUGUCGGCAAUAGAUAUGCAGUGAAAGACAAACGGCGGGUCGAAAUGGGAUGGCUUCACUUUCAGAAGGGCGAGUAUCACCAGGUCCGAACAAAAGGUGGAGGUGGAACACGGCACCUGUCUGUGCAGAAAACUGUAACCGUGGUUGAGCUGCUACAGAUAGGCAAAGAUUUAUUCUUCCCAGAUGGACUCUCUGCCAAAGGACCUAUUGGGAAGUUCGAUUUUGACAUUCGUGAUUUCAGUCAGAAUUCACUACCUCAUGAUUGCACCGUAGACCACCUGUAUGAGAGGACUAAGCUGCAAAUGCUUCGCAUUUACACAUGCUCCCAUUAUAAAGACACCGCAAUCAUUCUCUCGGAUGCAUCCUCAGACUUUGAGCCCAACGAUGAGAGGCCAGUGAAGAACAAAACCAGGAGACAUCAUCACAAGAGGACUGAAUCUACCAAAGAGGAUCACCCAGAGAAAUCUUCUGAUUCAGAUGAGGCACCUACUGACUCAGUGCAAAAAAACUAAUGAAAGAGUAAGCUCCAGUAGAUAUUAGCCUACUGCAUUUUUACUGACCCAAUCUGAGAUGUUGUGCUGCCCCAAUCACAUUCUGUGUCAGUGAUGGAACUUUUCCCCCCCAUAAAGACAUUAUGUUAUGGUAGACAUGAAAGCUUAUGAUAUCUCAGAAGCAUUGAGCAAUAGAAGCUAGAAACCUUUUUGCGCUUCUGCACAGGGUCCACUGUGCUGUCCAAAGACAAAAUUGAAGUAACUUUUAAUAAACUGUGUGGUUUAAGUCGCAGGCCUGUUGCACACACUUGUGGAGCAGUACUUGAGUUACCAUGCACCUACAGCACAUAUCCUGAAUUUCGAACAGAAUUUGACUGUUUACUGUCUGGAGAUUGUUUCACAAUGGAUAUUGUGUAGACAGAGUUGCACUUUUAACUUUUCUGUGGAAAAAAAGUGAAUCCUAAAAAGGAGUUAAAACAUGAGAUAGCUAUUGACAGUCAAUGUUUGUUGUUAUAAUGGAUGUAAGAAAUGUAACACUUUUACUUAUUUGUUAUUAACCAUCAAUGUUUGGGUGUCAGUUAAAUCAAUAAUAGGCUUAAUGAUGACAACAGCUGAGUGAGCUUUUCAAAGAAGUGGUAACUCAUCAACACUCCACUUCCAUUUACUUCCAUAAAUACGAAUGUAAGUGUUGUCGUGGAAUUAUGAGGCUCCAUCUGUGUUCAGUGUAGUUUGGAGAUACUGAGCAUUAAUAGUUUUCACAUCUCGCACACAAACUGUAAUGCAUCCCGUUUAAUUUGCGUAUUUAAGAUGCAGCGGUAAACAACACAGUAGCUCACUUGUAAUCAGAAGGUAAAUGGUAUCUUGUUUUUCCAAAGUGAUAUUGUCAAAUGUAAUGACAAACAAAUGAGACAAAUGGAGAGUUUAUGAUAAACAGCUACUGUGAGGGGGAAAAUUUGAUCGUCACAGAUAAAUUAAUGCACUGUAUUUAAUUAUUUUUUAAAACACCUAGUGCUAAAACGAUUAGUUGAUUAAUUGAUCUAUCUUUAAAUCGUUUGGGUUGUAUAUCCAGCCAAAACAUUCAUUGCUUUCAGUUUUUCUAAUGUGAAGAUUUGCAGUUUUUUUCUGUUUGAUAUUACUGUAAAUUCACUCCUUUGAGUUUUGGGUGAGUUGGUUGGUCAAAACAAGACAUUUGAAGGAGUCACUUGGACCACUUGAGUGGUCGUGAUGGGAAUUUGGUAAUGCUAACUUUUAAUUUGGUACUAAUUGUAGGGAAAAUAUAAGUGUCCUUGAAAGAAAAGUUCCAUCAAAACCAAGUACAUCAUUUGUUUGUUGUUGGAAACUUUAAUAUCUAAUUUGUUGAGUUAUUUUUGUACGUUCAGGUAACCUGCUCCAGAAUUGUCUGUUGUCCUGUUGGGUUGUUAUAGAAUAAUACAAAGAAUAAUAGAUGUAAGAAAAGUAAAACUUGUACUUAUUUUUUUAUUAAGCAUAAAUGUUUAUGUAAAGUACUGACACAUGAGUUUUUGCAGAUUUCCAUUUAGCAGUUAAAUACACUACAUACUUGCUGUUCAUGAGAACGUUUAGAGAGUGAUGGUGUCCAGAAAGGUCUGCUGUCCUGUGUAGUUGUUGUAAUAGGUGUAAGAAAAGUAAAACUUUUACUUACUUGUUAUUAAGCAUAAAUGUUUGUUAGGUUUUAUUUAUUUUAUGCCUUUUCAGGGAAGCAAUUAUUACUGUACAGUACUGCAGAAUAUCGCAUUUCACACGUUCACUUGUUUUACAUUUUGGCAAAGGGUAAAUACCAAUGGCUGUUUUUGUUGAAGCCUCACAUACUCAAAAUGUCCAAGAUACUGUUAAAUUAAAAUUACAACUUUGUCA